GUUUUCGUCAUUUUCAAUCAUGUCGCCGUCCAUACUACUAUCUGCUAACGUUACCGCCAUCAAGCCGCAAUGAUUUGCCACGAAUGAAUGCCGCCGAAUCUGCCGAGUUGUCUUGUAGUGGUGCGUCAAGUGCAACGCAGCCUACCGUAUAU
Molecule: long non-coding RNA, 152 nt
Organism: Sander lucioperca (pikeperch)
Lineage: Eukaryota; Metazoa; Chordata; Actinopteri; Perciformes; Percidae
Exons: 3
Source: RefSeq, a predicted model, not a curated record